RNAcentral lists this unclassified non-coding RNA (231 nucleotides) under Hevea brasiliensis (rubber tree). The record is from RNAcentral. Lineage: Eukaryota; Viridiplantae; Streptophyta; Magnoliopsida; Malpighiales; Euphorbiaceae.
GCUUGUGUUGAUUCAAUAGAGGGAUUGUGGCAUGUUGGGUAGGAAAAUUCUUGAGCUUGAUCUUGCAAAAGCAUGAGCUUACUCCUGAAAAGGAGGAUCUUGAAGCAGGUGGAAACUUAAGAGCCAAGUUACCUACGAGGAUCCGUACAAAUGGGCACGGAUCCAUUGUUGAUUGAGAACAAAUUUCAAUUGCUGUAACGACGAAUACUGAUGGUAGCGCAGCCUCAGACG